CCUUUGACCACAUGGCCCGUCAGGAUGAUGAGAAGAGAAGGCAGGAACUUGAAGAGAAAAUCAGAAGAAAGGAAGAGGAAGAGGCCAAGACUGUGUCAGCUGCUGCAGCUGAGAAGGAGCCAGUCCCAGUUCCAGUCCAGGAAAUAGAGAUUGACUCCACCACAGAAUUGGAUGGGCAUCAGGAAGCAGAGAAAGUGCAGCCUCCAGGCCCUGUGAAGGAAAUGGCCCAUGGCUCACAGGAGGCAGAAGCUCCAGGAGCAGUUGCUGGUGCUGCUGAAGUCCCUAGGGAACCACCAAUUCUUCCCAGGAGCACUGCUAGGAUUUGCUCAUCAUGCCUGAGGUAUAAUGGACACCUGAAAUGACAGUCUGUUUUAGGUGACUGGAUUCACAUCCUCGCUAUGCCGCUUCCUGAAUGUAUUACCUUGAACAAGCAGUAUAACCUUUCUGUGUCUCAGUUUUCUUCUCUAUAAAAUGUAGGUGAUAAUAAU
This 488-nucleotide small RNA is filed under the name Pan troglodytes (chimpanzee). RNAcentral describes it as "processed transcript". The record is from RNAcentral. Lineage: Eukaryota; Metazoa; Chordata; Mammalia; Primates; Hominidae.